UACGUAGGGGGCAAGCGUUGUCCGGAAUCAUUGGGCGUAAAGCGCGUGUAGGCGGUUCAGUAAGUCUGCUGUGAAAGUCCAGGGCUCAACCCUGGGAUGCCGGUGGAUACUGCUGGGCUAGAGUACGGAAGAGGCGAGUGGAAUUCCCGGUGUAGCGGUGAAAUUCGUAGAUAUUCGGAAGAACACCAGUGGCGAAGGCGACUCACUGGACACAUAUUGACGCUGAGGUGCGAAAGCGUGGGGAGCAAACAGG
RNAcentral lists this ribosomal RNA (253 nucleotides) under uncultured bacterium. RNAcentral's name for it is "partial 16S ribosomal RNA". It matches the Rfam family "Bacterial small subunit ribosomal RNA", at positions 524 to 776 of the family's 1533-position model. The record is from RNAcentral.